GCCUCUGCCUCUCAAAGUGCUGGGAUCACAGGCGUGAGCCACCGCCCCCCGACGCCUCAGCUCAUUUGUUAAUUAGCAGUAAUUGCCCGGGUCAGUGACACCUCCUACUUGAGCCUCUUUCCCUGUCCAUAAAAUGCACUAAUACUGGGGUGGGUGGGAUUGGGAGGUGGGUCCUGGAGCUCCAUCCAAUCAGUGGCACUGGUGUAGGAACCGCCCGAUCAGGCGCGCAGUUGGAGAGGAGGGCGUGGCUUCCGGCAUUUGGCGGGGUCUUUGUCUCUCGCUCCCGCCAGAGCUUGGGAUCGGUCUUCACUGUUCCGCGUCCUCUACCUGGGAACCACCGACCCCCGCCCGGCGACUUUGUCACAGACUCUGUUGCCCUGUGAUCUGCAGGUCCUGGGAGACGCACAGCCAAGAUGCCAGGGCACCCUGGAAGCUGUGAAGUGUUCAGAUGCAUAAUCUCAUCCCUGAACAUCCUGCUGGUGCGAUUAUGACAUAUGAUUUUACCCAGCACCAGAGGGAUUUGAUGCUCCUGCCUGGGCCCAACUCACAGAAGGGAUUGUGACAUAUCACUGGACCCAGCACUGAGGGGACAUUGUGUAAUAUCGUUGGGCCUCACACGUACGUUAUGUGACUCUCCUGCGUGUGCCCUGUCCAUGUGGGCCAUUGUGACAUAUUGCUGGGUCCAACAACUGGUUGAUGUAGCUCUACUGCCUAGGUCCUGCCUAUGGAGGACUUUGUGAUGUAUCCCUGAACCCAUCACACAGAUUCUGCCCUCAGAGGACAUUGUGACAUGUCACUGGGCCUAAUACUAAGAUGACAUCAUUCUUUAGUUUUGGCACUGCCCUCAGAAGCCGUGGUGGUGUAUUGCUGGGCCCAGAGCCAAUGUGAUGUGAGUCUCCUGCCUGGAUCCUGCCUACAAGGUGCAUUGUGACAUACCUCUGGGCCCUUUGACUAUUUUAUGUGACUCUCCUCUCUUACCUGGAUGUUGCCCAAAAAGAGAUUGUGACAUACUUUGCACCCAGCACUGAGGUGAUUUGACUGUCCUCUUCUGCCUGUGCUUUGCCUACAGGAGAGAGAGUGACUUAUUACUGAGUUUAGCAUACACAUGAUGUGAUUUUCCUCCACUCACAGAAGUCAUUGUGACAUAUAUCUUGGCCCAUCACUGAGAUUGUGACUGUCUUUUUCCUGGGACCUGUCCACAGUGGAGAGUAUGACACUUUUUGGCCAAGCACCUACAAGAUACGACUCUCUUCUUACACCUGGGCCACUGGGGUGAUUUUGACAUGUAGUUGGCCCCAGCUCCAAGAUUAUGUGACUCCACACUUCUUCCUGAGCCCUACCUACAGGUAGCAUUGUGUCAUAUCUGUGAGACCCUCAAUUAGGUGAAAUGACUCUUUGUUUGGGCCCUCUUCUCAAGGUACCGUGACAUUGCUGGGCCCAGCAUCUAGGUGAUGUAACUCUACUGUACUGUUUGGUUUCUGCCUAAAAAGGGAUUGUGACAUACCACUCUAUCAAGAACCUAGGUGAGGUGACUCCUCUCCAGCCUGGGACCUGCAUACAUUGCUUAUUGACACAUAUCACUGGCUCCAGCACCUAGGUUAUGUGAAUCCUCUUCUUCCCAGAUCCUGCCAAAAGGAAAGAUUGUGACAUAUCACUGGAACCAGCACUUAGGCUAUUGUGACAUAUGCCUGAGGCUAACACCCAGAUGAUAUAAGUCUUCAUCCUGGACCCUGUCUACAGAAGUCAUUGCGAUAUAUGUCUUCACCAAUCACUGAGGUCGAACGCCCAGUGAUGUGACUCUCCUUCCUGGUCCAUGCCCUCAGGGAAGAUUGUGACAUACCCCGGCCCAGCACACAGUUAAUGUCACUCUUGUGCUUGCUGUCUACCCAUGGGUAGGAUUGUGACAUAUAUCGUGGCCAAGCACAAAGAUGUAAUGACUGUCAUACCUCGAAGAAAGCAAUAGAGUUAAUGUUGCUCCUAGGAGAAGGCUGUAACAUAUUCCUGGUUGAGUAUUCAGGUGAUGUGACACUCCUGUUUGGUCCCUGCCUUCAGAAAAGAUUGUGAUGUACUCCUGGCCAAAAACCCAGGUGAUGUGACUCUUAUCUCUCCCUAUUCACAGGUAAGAUUGUAAAAUGCCUUGGUCUAGCUCACAGGUGUGAUGAUGUUGAUCCUUUUUUUUUUUUUAUUUUAUUUAUUUUUUUUAUUUUUGGAGAUGGAGUUGCUCUGUCG
RNAcentral lists this long non-coding RNA (2229 nucleotides) under Homo sapiens (human). RNAcentral's name for it is "HSALNT0396807". Lineage: Eukaryota; Metazoa; Chordata; Mammalia; Primates; Hominidae. The record is from RNAcentral.